CGUGAGAUGUUGGGUUAAGUCCCGCAACGAGCGCAACCCUUGUCCUUAGUUGCCAGCACGUAAUGGUGGGAACUCUAAGGAGACCGCCGGUGACAAACCGGAGGAAGGUGGGGAUGACGUCAAGUCAUCAUGGCCCUUACGGCCAGGGCUACACACGUACUACAAUGGUGGGGACAGAGGGCUGCAAGCCGGCGACGGUGAGCCAAUCCCAGAAACCCUAUCUCAGUCCGGAUUGGAGUCUGCAACUCGACUCCA
Molecule: ribosomal RNA, 255 nt
Filed under: uncultured bacterium
Lineage: Bacteria
Description: partial 16S ribosomal RNA
Rfam family: Bacterial small subunit ribosomal RNA
Source: RNAcentral